AACGAACGCUGGCGGCAGGCCUAACACAUGCAAGUCGAACGCCCCGCAAGGGGAGUGGCAGACGGGUGAGUAACACGUGGGAACCUUCCCUAUAGUACGGAAUAGCCCAGGGAAACUUGGAGUAAUACCGUAUACGCCCGAAAGGGGAAAGAAUUUCGCUAUAGGAUGGGCCCGCGUAGGAUUAGCUAGUUGGUGAGGUAAUGGCUCACCAAGGCGACGAUCCUUAGCUGGUUUGAGAGAACGACCAGCCACACUGGGACUGAGACACGGCCCAGACUCCUACGGGAGGCAGCAGUGGGGAAUAUUGGACAAUGGGCGCAAGCCUGAUCCAGCCAUGCCGCGUGAGUGAUGAAGGCCUUAGGGUUGUAAAGCUCUUUUGGCGGGGACGGUAAUGACGGUACCCGCAGAAUAAGUCCCGGCUAACUUCGU
RNAcentral lists this ribosomal RNA (429 nucleotides) under uncultured bacterium. RNAcentral describes it as "partial 16S ribosomal RNA". It matches the Rfam family "Bacterial small subunit ribosomal RNA", at positions 29 to 506 of the family's 1533-position model. The record is from RNAcentral.